This 395-nucleotide unclassified non-coding RNA is filed under the name soil metagenome. RNAcentral's name for it is "partial contains 5.8S ribosomal RNA, internal transcribed spacer 2, and large subunit ribosomal RNA". The stretch from base 1 to 120 matches the Rfam family "5.8S ribosomal RNA", at positions 35 to 154 of the family's 154-position model. The record is from RNAcentral.
GAUGAAGAACGUAGCGAAAUGCGAAAAGUAGUGUGAAUUGCAGAAUUCAGUGAAUCAUCGAAUCUUUGAACGCACCUUGCGCCUUUUGGUAUUCCGAAAGGCACACCUGUUUGAGCGUCAUGAAUACCUCAAUCUCCAUCUUUUCUUCGGAUUGAUGGGUGACUUGGAUGUUGAGCCCUGCUGGUAUGCUAUAUCAGCUGGCUUUAAACUUAUUAGCCGGCUCUGUACUGGAUCGGUUUGACUCGACGUGAUAAUAUUAUCGUUGAGGAUGCAUGUCUCAUGCAGCCGGAAAGUAUCAAAGCAGCUUCUAGCUUGCCUUUAGUGCACUUUUACAUUUUAGACCUCAGAUCAGGUGGGACUACCCGCUGAACUUAAGCAUAUCAAUAAGCGGAGGA